GAUGAACGCUGGCGGCGUGCCUAAUACAUGCAAGUCGAGCGAACGGACGAGAAGCUUGCUUCUCUGAUGUUAGCGGCGGACGGGUGAGUAACACGUGGAUAACCUACCUAUAAGACUGGGAUAACUUCGGGAAACCGGAGCUAAUACCGGAUAAUAUUUUGAACCGCAUGGUUCAAAAGUAAAAGACGGUCUUGCUGUCACUUAUAGAUGGAUCCGCGCUGCAUUAGCUAGUUGGUAAGGUAACGGCUUACCAAGGCAACGAUGCAUAGCCGACCUGAGAGGGUGAUCGGCCACACUGGAACUGAGACACGGUCCAGACUCCUACGGGAGGCAGCAGUAGGGAAUCUUCCGCAAUGGGCGAAAGCCUGACGGAGCAACGCCGCGUGAGUGAUGAAGGUCUUCGGAUCGUAAAACUCUGUUAUUAGGGAAGAAUAUAUGUGUAAGUAACUGUGCACAUCUUGACGGUACCUAAUCAGAAAGCCACGGCUAACUACGUGCCAGCAGCCGCGGUAAUACGUAGGUGGCAAGCGUUAUCCGGAAUUAUUGGGCGUAAAGCGCGCGUAGGCGGUUUUUUAAGUCUGAUGUGAAAGCCCACGGCUCAACCGUGGAGGGUCAUUGGAAACUGGAAAACUUGAGUGCAGAAGAGGAAAGUGGAAUUCCAUGUGUAGCGGUGAAAUGCGCAGAGAUAUGGAGGAACACCAGUGGCGAAGGCGACUUUCUGGUCUGUAACUGACGCUGAUGUGCGAAAGCGUGGGGAUCAAACAGGAUUAGAUACCCUGGUAGUCCACGCCGUAAACGAUGAGUGCUAAGUGUUAGGGGGUUUCCGCCCCUUAGUGCUGCAGCUAACGCAUUAAGCACUCCGCCUGGGGAGUACGACCGCAAGGUUGAAACUCAAAGGAAUUGACGGGGACCCGCACAAGCGGUGGAGCAUGUGGUUUAAUUCGAAGCAACGCGAAGAACCUUACCAAAUCUUGACAUCCUUUGACAACUCUAGAGAUAGAGCCUUCCCCUUCGGGGGACAAAGUGACAGGUGGUGCAUGGUUGUCGUCAGCUCGUGUCGUGAGAUGUUGGGUUAAGUCCCGCAACGAGCGCAACCCUUAAGCUUAGUUGCCAUCAUUAAGUUGGGCACUCUAAGUUGACUGCCGGUGACAAACCGGAGGAAGGUGGGGAUGACGUCAAAUCAUCAUGCCCCUUAUGAUUUGGGCUACACACGUGCUACAAUGGACGAUACAAAGGGCAGCGAAACCGCGAGGUCAAGCAAAUCCCAUAAAGUUGUUCUCAGUUCGGAUUGUAGUCUGCAACUCGACUACAUGAAGCUGGAAUCGCUAGUAAUCGUAGAUCAGCAUGCUACGGUGAAUACGUUCCCGGGUCU
Molecule: ribosomal RNA, 1372 nt
Filed under: uncultured bacterium
Lineage: Bacteria
Description: bacterial SSU rRNA
Rfam family: Bacterial small subunit ribosomal RNA
Source: RNAcentral